Long non-coding RNA from Gavialis gangeticus (Gharial), 2175 nucleotides. RefSeq lists it as uncharacterized. Lineage: Eukaryota; Metazoa; Chordata; Crocodylia; Gavialidae. The record is from RefSeq and is a predicted model, not a curated record. The transcript has 3 exons.
UGAACUAUACAUUGAUUUUAGUUUUAUUAGGAAUGCAAUUGCUGAUGCAUUAUUUGCCAUUUGUUUUAAGAUGCCUUUUUAUUUUUCUGCAAUUUGCAUAUAUUUUAUGAAAUUGAGAUGGAUUUAAUUAGGCAAUAUACUGAAGAUGCUAUUGGAAAAUAAUUGAUUGUUUUGAGUUAUUUUCAGCCUUUCAAGCCUUCUGUAUAAUGAUAAAUUGGACAGCUGAAGAACCGUAUUGAUCCUGAUGUCUUCAUAAAUAACUUUCAUCAGCAGAUGCACGUCCCAAUUCUAAUGAUAAAUUACCCCUUUGUCACUGGGGAGCUUGGGCAGAGUGUUGUCCAGUGACUCUGACCAUGCUUUUUCUAUUUUGUCAGCACAGCACAUACUUAGAAACAUUAGUUAUCUUGGGAGUGCUUCCUAUCAGGGUCUUGUCUUAGUAGUCUCUGAGGUAGCAUAAUUGUAACAAGAUUAUGGGAAGAGUGCUGACUUUGAAUUGAACCUACAGGGAAUGUACUAUUGUGUUUACGAAGAAACCUGUGCUCAGAAAGCAGGGGACAUAUAACCUUUAACCUUAGUUCAUUUUUCAUACUUGUCAAAUCUAACUGGACCAAAAGGAAAAAAAAGCAAUGGUUACUCAUUAGGAACAUCAUACCCUUCUAAAAUCAAUGAUUUUCCAUACUUAUCUUCCUGACCACAACUCCUUUUUAUGGACAAAACACUAAUGCCUUCCGUUUUAACUUUUUGUUAUCUCUAAGCAAGUGUCAUACUCGGCUUAUCCUAGGACUUCAGUUACUGAAAAUGGGUAGUGGUUUCAUAUUGUUGCAGUGUUGCUCUGCUGAUAUACUUAUGGCUCAUCUCCAAAUAAACAAUUUCUGCUGCUGAGAUUAUGGUGGAAUUGUGAAUAAGGAAAAUGACUUGAUUUGCUGUUAAUGAAUGUUUGAAGUACAUGAUGUGUGGAUUUCUUUUUGUAAAGUAAUGAGCAAAGUUGGUGAGUGGGUGCUUGUCUCCAAUGGCUUCACAAGUCCUCUGCCUGAAUUCCAUUAUACUGUUCCUUUGCAGACAGUAAGGUGUCAUUACAUGAACUCUUGAAAUCAAAACCAAGUAUUUUUCAUGUAUUGUACAUAUGAUACUUGGGGAGCUUCAACAGGCUAGCAGCCAGGAAGCUUGUGUCCUAUUAAAGGCAUAUGUACAUCCUUGUAGAUUUUGAAAAAUUACUUUGUAAGUUUAUCUCUCUGGAGGGAGGAGGGGAGAAAAGCAACAGAUAAAUCCCCACUUGUUAUCCAGCAGUCCCUUUUUCAAGGAUCAGAAUUCUCUUUUAAUGUUCAGAAGUUACUUUAAAAUAUGCACCUGCAUUUGGCAAAUUAUCAUGCUUAAACAAACUGAUUUGCUGACCCAGGUAGCCUUAUGCAAGUCUUUUCUUAGCCUGAAGCUAGCCACCUCCCAUGCAAUAGUAAUUCUGUAUCAUAAACAAGUAAUUUUGGCAAAAUAAUAAUUUCUUCUUUGUUGUUUACCCAGGUGAGUGUUGUUUCCUUGUAAAUUUAUGAAUCUGAGAUGCCAGAACAUAAUACACCGAAGAAUGAAGACUUUACCUAGGAUUUCAUGUGAGAAUUGAGUCUCCUGUGAUAUUUUCACAAGUUCCAUGCACUUUCUACAGCCAUGAUGUUGUGUCAUCUGCUAAAGUCAGAAGAACGCACGUGAGGGUUACAGCAAGCUUCUCCAGGAACCUGGUAGAAGUGGACACACAGCAUAUUUCCUUUUCGUUCUACUGCAAAGAAUUUGCUUAAGUUGAGGCAUGCUCAGUUGUGUUUCGGUAUGCACUGACUUUGAGAUUGAGGCUUAUAUCUGCAUGGUCCACAAACAAUUUUCAUCUUCAUGAAGAUUCAUUAAUCUAAGACUUGCCAUUUAUUGUGCUUGUUUAUUAGAGAGGUUUCCUACUAUGUAGGGAAUUGUAUAGAAUGCCCUUGAGACAUUGGGCAAGAUAUUUCAUGCCUAUUUCACUUAUUCGGAUUGUAAGCUCUUUAGGGCAGAGAUUGCCUAAUUGUACUGUACAAACAAAGCUGUCUUAAAUUUUACUUUGGGCAUGUAAUUGCUCCUGGAAUAUCAUCUGAUCUCUACACUGCCUGUAUGUUUGACUGAAAUUCAGAUCUGCAAAAAUACAGUAUCUUUAGAGAAGUA